This 276-nucleotide ribosomal RNA is filed under the name Triticum aestivum (bread wheat). RNAcentral's name for it is "partial small subunit ribosomal RNA". Lineage: Eukaryota; Viridiplantae; Streptophyta; Magnoliopsida; Poales; Poaceae. The record is from RNAcentral.
GGCUGCAAUCGUCUCAUUAUCAAUUCAGAUAAUAUGGAAGUCAUUGACACAAUGAAGAACGGUGGAGAGUCUGCGGGAGCAGCGGCGGCAAUGAUUUUUUUUAUGGCAUGUGAUUUUCCACAAACCAGUUUUGAACAUUGUAAUAGAGAAGCGAACAAAGUAGCUCAUGAGCUUGCUAGAUUAGCAAAAUGUUCCACGACUAGGGAUUGGAUAGAGGAGCCCAUGGAAACUCUUGUAACUCUUCUGAUAGACGAUGUAACCAUUAUCUCUAAUUAA